Long non-coding RNA from Triticum dicoccoides, 635 nucleotides. RefSeq lists it as uncharacterized. The record is from RefSeq and is a predicted model, not a curated record. The transcript is spliced from 4 exons. NCBI's taxonomy places the organism in Eukaryota, Viridiplantae, Streptophyta, Magnoliopsida, Poales, Poaceae.
UCUGUACGCACCACACGGGAUCUGAGAUGUCAACCGCCUGAUCGGCGCCGCACGGCGGCCAGAGCCCAGAGAUGUCGUCGCCUGAUCGGCGAUAUUGAUUGCAGGUGACGAGUUAGCACAAUUGCAGGCCGGAUUCAGGGGCAGGUAUCGAUUCAGUUCGAAGCCACAACCCGAAUUUAGCUAUUGAAGGUAGCAGGAGCUCGAUUUUGUUCUCAUAUUGUGCAGCAGGCUACAGUAGAGAAGUACAAGACAAAGUGUAAAACAUGAAGAGGAAGAAUACUAGUACUACUGAUUUGAGAACUUUCUUGGAGAGAGUUGCUGCAAAAAAAGGGAGGUCUCUUCGGUAUGAGAUUGUUUACAAAUUUCUCAAAUUGGUGCUAGUUCAAUUAGCUGGUGGUGAGAGGGUCUUCUCAUCAAUGAACUAUAUAAAAAACAAGCUAAGAAGCAAGAUGGGGCAAAAAUACUUGAAUGAUUGCUUGGUCACAUUCAUUGAAAGGAGAUUUUUCUUGCAAGUUCAAGACAAGGACAUCAUCACUCAUUUUCAAAGCAUCAAGGAUCGCAAAGUUAUCCUCUAGUUUGUAAGGGUUCUUGUGAUUUCAUAUUUCUAUCCUCUAUAUAUCUUAGAUUUUGCCAUG